Molecule: transfer RNA, 85 nt
Filed under: Escherichia coli
Lineage: Bacteria; Pseudomonadati; Pseudomonadota; Gammaproteobacteria; Enterobacterales; Enterobacteriaceae
Also listed under: 2 other names
Description: tRNA-Tyr
Rfam family: tRNA
About the family: Transfer RNA (tRNA) molecules are approximately 80 nucleotides in length. Their secondary structure includes four short double-helical elements and three loops (D, anti-codon, and T loops).
Source: RNAcentral
GGUGGGGUUCCCGAGCGGCCAAAGGGAGCAGACUGUAAAUCUGCCGUCAUCGCCUUCGAAGGUUCGAAUCCUUCCCCCACCACCA